UUUUCUUUUUUUUUUCUUCAUAUUCCACAAGUUCGUACGUUAAAGAAGGAAUGACUCGACUUUUUUAACGUACUACGUUCUUCAAUAUUUUUCAUUUUUAUAUUUGCCUACGCGGGUCGGUCACACCAAGUCUCGAGCUAAAGACGAGAGUUCGUUUCUUUGAAUAUGCCGCAUGACACAUUAGACAUGAUAUGUACAUGUAUAUAUCCACGGCGUUAUUCGAAUUCAGAUAUUUAUUAUCAUAGGAUAGAGAGAGGGUGAGAAGGAGAGUUGAACGAGAAAGUUUAGAAAUAUAGUGAGGGAUGAUAAAGAGAGAAGAAAUUAUUACUGAGAACGUAUGUGUGAGCAUAUAUAUGUGUGUAUGUGUGUGUAUGUAUGUGUAUACAUAUAUGUAUAAUCAUGUAUCUUAGAAUUAAUACUCGGAUUCGAUAAGAUAGCUGACUAGCUAGUUAGCGUGAAAUCGCUGCGUGAAAAUGAAUGAUAAAUAUUCCCCUCCUCCCCUAUAAGGAAACGCGAAAUAAGAAAGAAAGAGAAAGAGAGAGAAGAAUAAUGAAUUUCAUAAACACCGUGAAUAUAUGUGUAUACUACACGUUGGUAAUGAUUAUAAAUGGCGUCGACGAAUUAAAGUUGGAUAUAACAUAACGAAAAAAGAACACUCUCGGCUCUCUCGGAUGUAUUCUUCGUGUCCGGUAUUUAUACUUUUGUUAGAUUGAUAACUAAUUAAUUAGAAUGAAAAGCGUUAAGAAAGUUAAAAAGAAAAAAAAAAAAGAGUAUUACGAAGCGAAACGAAACGGUAUAAACUACGUUUAUAUAUUAUACUUUCUUAUCUGACUCUUAUCUUUCGAUCUUUUUCCUAAGUUUGCAACAACAAACACAUAUAAUACCGACAUAACCUCAACUUAUCCCCUUGUACACAUAUAUGUAUAUACUGUGUCUGGAGAAAAAAAAAAUAAUACUAGACUUUAUUCGCGAAUCUCAAGUACAAAAAAACACGAGACAGAACGUUUAAAGCUUAUCAACAGAUGCAAAGAAAUCGUCUAAACACGAUAAUCCAAAGAAAGAAAAGGAAAGAAAAACGCAAAAUCAUACGAUAAAGGAGGAGGUGGAGGAGGAGAAGGAGAAGGAGGAGGAGGGGGAGCCCUCUGAUCUAAAUUAGCCGGAUUGCCCUUGAGAGACCGUGAUCUAUAACUCGCAUAUGCAUCCUACAAAACGAGGUGCUUGCAAAACGCGAGUUGCGUACAUAUUUCACGUUGAAAUGAAGAGAAGAAAAAAAAAAGAAAAAAAAAAAAGAAAAGAUAAUUAUCGACGGAUCUAUAAUCUACGAUUAAAUAUAUUCGAAGAAAAGUAUUAACAAAGUCCACAAAUGAUAACAGUAUGUAUAAAACGAAUACUAGAAAAAAAGAUUGAGCGAGAGCGAGAGCGCGCUUCAGAGAAAGAGAUAGAAAGAGAAAAAGAGCGCGAAAUUUAAAAGUGUUAAUCGUAUGAACGCGUAACUCGUCCCCCCUGUACUAGUAGGACUUUAAAUUCGUUUUGAUGUGAAACAGACGGCACGUUGGCCACUAUAAAUGAGAAAAAGAGCGAACGUACGAGUGAGAAAAAGAAAGAGAGAGAAAAGAGGAAAGUAGAGUGAGAAAUAAGCAAGAGAGAGAAAAGAGGAAAGUAGAGUGAGAAAAAAAAAGCAAAAAAGAGAGAGAGAGAGAUAGAACGAGUCUCGCAUACAUAGAGAAUAUAACAAGGGCGUAGACUUCGAGGGACCCUACAAACAAUCCAUCGCGUAGAAUGUUUCAUGUUACGAUGUUAACCGCGUUUUUCUUUCUUUCUCGUUUCUUUUUUUCUUUCUUUCAUUUUUUUUUUUUUUUUACACGAAUCCAUGUGUCUAUAUUCUCUUUUUCUUCUCUCUCUCUCUCUCUCUCUCUUUCUUUCUCUACCGUUGUUUUCUUUUGUGUAUUUUUCCGAUUCUGACUUUCGUAGUGAAAAUAAUGGCGCUGGUCAGAAGCGAAACUAUGGAAGAAUUCGUAGUAUAUAAGAGGAACCACGAAACAAUGGGCAGUGAUUACUGAACGGCGAAAGGGUGUGGCAGCACCAUUGAGUCGUUACACGCAGGAAUAGAGCGAGUAGGGGGAUAAUAUGCGCGUAUAUGCGCACGCUUUAGCCUCAAUGUCACGAAAGAAAAGACACGAGGAACGGAAUGUUUUCACGUUCGGAAAGACGAAUGGAAUUCAUCCAUCUGAAUACUUCAGAGAAGACUAUACUGAUUUUUAAAUACAUUUCAUGAUCCUUUUC
Vespula pensylvanica (western yellowjacket) is the source of this 2283-nucleotide long non-coding RNA. RefSeq lists it as uncharacterized. The record is from RefSeq and is a predicted model, not a curated record. NCBI's taxonomy places the organism in Eukaryota, Metazoa, Arthropoda, Insecta, Hymenoptera, Vespidae. The transcript is spliced from 2 exons.